Arabidopsis lyrata subsp. lyrata is the source of this 2480-nucleotide long non-coding RNA. RefSeq lists it as uncharacterized. The record is from RefSeq and is a predicted model, not a curated record. Lineage: Eukaryota; Viridiplantae; Streptophyta; Magnoliopsida; Brassicales; Brassicaceae. The transcript is spliced from 7 exons.
CACAGCUGGAAUUUUUCGAAACGGGUCUUUUGUCUUGGAAAUCUUUAUUUUUCAAAUUUCGAAUUCUUCUAUAUAACGGAAUAAAAUCGGAGUUAGACCGUUUGAAGAAGCAGAAUCUCUCUACAAAUCUCUCAUUUUUUCAGAAAACCCUAAAUUCUCAUUUUCGCAAAAUGUCUGGAGAAGUUAAGUACCGGUGCUUUUUUUUCCGGCGAUGUUGCUUGGGUCACCGACGAUCAUGAUCCUGAAAGGACGAUCUCUCACUUCGGCUAGGAUUAUCGAUUCUAAGGAUUAUCUCUUGUGAUUUCUGGAAUUUUUGGUUAGUUGAACUAUAUGGAGAGAAACAAGUUAUGGAAAUUUUGGAGUCUGAUCAAGUUAGUUCUCGAUGAAGAAUUUAAAACUGGUGAUUUUGUGGUUCUGGUUCAUCAUAGUUAAUCAAGGAAGCUGCUCUUUGCUGCAAAUUUCAGAGCCUAGAAUCGUAUCUUAAAACUCAGAAAACAGAGAAUUCUUGAUUGAUUGUUGGUAAUCAAUUGAAGAAUGCAUACACACAUACAUGCAUGCACUCAUACAUUCAUGCAUCCAUGCAUUCAUACAUACAUACAUGCUACAUACAUACAUGGAUAGUUGCAUACUUGCUUCCCUUGCACUUUCAUAAUUGCUUCUUUGAUUCUUUGUCUGAUUCUCUGUUUACUUACUUACAUACUUGCUUGUUUGCAUCCUUUUUUCUUUCUUCAUUCCUUGCUUACUAAUCAGCUUCCCUCCUUUGUUACUUGCGUUGCGUGCUAAUAUGUCCUAGCUUCCUUCUUUGGUUACUUGCGUGCUAACUUUCUUCCUUAUUUUCUACUUUGAUUCCCUGUUUACGCAUUUGUUACAUGCAUACAUACAUACAUUUAUUCAUAAUUGUUUAUAUGUUUCUUUGAUUUGUUAUUACUCACUUGCUUCCUUGAUUCAUUGUCUGAUCCUUUUCCUUAGUUACUUUCUGCUUUCAUUCCUUACUUGCUUGUUUUCUUCUUUUAUUUUUUUAUUCCUUGCUUAAUUACCAGCUUCUUGGUUUGUUUGUGUUCCUUUCUUGCUUCCUGGAUUAUAUUAUUUUCUUACUAACUUGCUUGCUUUUGCAUUUUCUUCCUUGAUUCCUUGGUUAAUUGGCUUCAUUGUUUCGUUGGUUACAUGCUUAAUUUCUUACAUACUGUCUUUUUUUCCUUAAUUCUUUAGUUAACUUGCUUCCGUGUUUCUUUACGGUCUUUCUUUCUUUACCGAGGCUAGGUUAGCCGAAAGACGGCUUCUUACUUUCUAUCGCUUGCUCUUUGCUCUCUAAUUGUCUCAGUUUAUUUUCCACUUUAAUAUUUAUUGUGCUUUAAUAGUACUAGGUUACAAGGCAAAGUCCUCGACAUCAUUAAUGUUGCUACCACAAAGACUAUCGGAAAGACAAGGAUCAAGUUCUACGAUUAUUCUUCCUCUUAACUUUCUCUCUUGGUUUGUUUCUAAUUUUGUUAUUUGUUAGUAUGUGGUAUAAGUAAUGGCAUAAGUUGCAGGAAGAACAAAGUCUCUAAGAGAAGAUUAUCUAUGCAAUGAGUUCCGCUUAUCUGCUUCCUUUUCCAGGUUUCAUUCUGAUUUUAUCAGAUAUUUUUCUUUGUGCUAAUAUAUGGUGAUGAACUUCUGCUGUUUCAGUUGGAUUUCGUUAAUAAGUGUUCAUGGGAUCAAUACAACCAUCAUCAUCAUGAUUUAGUAAGAGAAACAGAAAUGCAUCAAAGUAAUGUAAAUUUAAUGCUCUUGUUCUUAAUCGAAUUGAAUUAUUGAGUCUCUGAUUCAGUUAACAAAUGUGUGUUUUCCACAGGGAAGAAGCUUGAAAAAAUAGAACAAGAGAAGAGACUUUUGUAAAUCUAUCUAAUUUGGUGAUUAACUUCUGCUGUUUCAGAUGGAUUUCCAUAAUCGUGUUCCUGGUGUGGGAAUUAGUACAACAUUAAGCUGCUGAGAACGAUAUAAUUUAGUAAGAGAAACAUGAAUGCAUCAAGAUGUUAUAGGUUGAGACUUCGACUGAAGACGAUGCGGAGCAAGCAUAAUAGUAUCAUUGCAGCUUCAAAGCUUCAUUGCUAAAACUGAUCAUAUUGGAAAGAGAUAGUGCCUGGCAGCUAAAUAGCAUGUUAUUUUCAAUCUUAGGUGUCUAUAUGCCCAAACUCCGAAAAUGUUUGUGACUACUGUUGAAGGACAGGAAAAAAGGGGAUGGCCUAAGAUUCUACAGAACAAAGUUCUCAUAUAUACUAUAUGUGAUGUGGAUGGCACACUGGUCAGAUUUGGGAUGCAAAUGCAAAGCUAAAAAGAAGUCAUAAAACGUUGAUUUGAAAUAAGCAGACGUGUGUCUUUAUUCUCUGGAGCAUGGAAUUCCUCUCAUUGCAGAUCGCUGCUUGACAUUGUUUGACAACCCACUGGUCGACUCUUCACAUGAGCCAAAGGUAGGUUAAUGGCCAAAUUAGCUGAUAAAGGAG